AAUAGUCUGAGCGCUGAUGGUUCCCGCGGAACGAAAUCGCUGCGGGAUGAAAAGGGAACACUGUGAGGAAGAGCCGCAAGGGCGCCUAAUCCGUGACUGCCCCCGCAACUGUGAGCGGAGAGCGACCCCGAACGACGCCACUGGGCCCAUGAUCGCAUGGCCCGGGAAGGUACGGGAAAGCUUCGACCCGCGAGUCAGGAGACCUGCCAUCGCAACCACAACAAC
RNAcentral lists this non-coding RNA (225 nucleotides) under Roseibium alexandrii. Lineage: Bacteria; Pseudomonadati; Pseudomonadota; Alphaproteobacteria; Hyphomicrobiales; Stappiaceae. The record is from RNAcentral.